RNAcentral lists this long non-coding RNA (529 nucleotides) under Rattus norvegicus (Norway rat). RNAcentral's name for it is "long non-coding RNA NONRATT016106". Lineage: Eukaryota; Metazoa; Chordata; Mammalia; Rodentia; Muridae. The record is from RNAcentral.
CACGCACGCACGCACGCACGCACGCACGCACAUGCACAUACACACGGCAUACACACACGCAGUCCUUGAACAGUGGGGUGGGACAGAGACAUGCAAGCACGCACGCACGCACAGCUCCCAGAGCUGAAGAGGUCAGAAGCACCUUGGGCUUCCUUUUGCGCCUGCUGCCCUGCCUGCUUCCGUUUCAUUUUAGCCUCCUGACUUCCCUUCUCCUCAGGCUCUCUGAAAGACACAUCUCUCCACCUCUCUGUUUCUUUCCACUCCUUUCUCCCCUUCUCAGCCUUCUUGCCCUGUAUUUACCUUUGCCGUUUUUUUGAUGGGUAGGAUGGUUGAAGGCCCUGUGCUGUCCCAGGCAGGCUUUGAGGUGGUCCCAGCAGAGCCAGCUCUAAGGACAGUUGGUUUCUCCUUUCCGUGCUGAGCCCUCCAGGUGGCCUCACAAGAUGCAGGCUCAGAGGCCACGAUGGAUCAAAUCACCACGUGUUCCCACUUCUGCACCACGGGCUGCCUCUGUGGGAAAAGGAGGCCAUCA